This is a long non-coding RNA of Vespa velutina, 4867 nucleotides long. RefSeq lists it as uncharacterized. The transcript is spliced from 2 exons. The record is from RefSeq and is a predicted model, not a curated record. NCBI's taxonomy places the organism in Eukaryota, Metazoa, Arthropoda, Insecta, Hymenoptera, Vespidae.
UAUAAUACAAUAACAAAUUGUUAAUAAAGAGUUAUUAAAAAAUCAAUCUCCAUCCAAAUCUAAUUUAAUCAUAUAUAUAUAUAUAUAUAUUAUGAUCAUAAUAAAUAUUAUGAUCAUAACUUCGUGAUCAAUGGUUAUUCCUUUGUACUACUUCGAAAUACUAUCCGAAAUUGAUCUCGACGUUCAAACGUAUCGAUGGUAAUCGAUUCUUUGGACCUAACUUCGUUCCAGCUGAUAGCCACCAUCUGCUACGAUCUUAUUGGACAGUCAGCCAGCCAGCACCGUUUAUUCUUCGAGAACACAUUUGUUCCAGUGUACUUUGUCGGCUAACGCUAGGCGUCGAACAUAUCGAACUCGAUCGGACAGAUCUUUUGUUCGUUGGCACACGGUGGGUGCAAUCACGCGGAAGACACUACUCGCUUACCGGACUUCUCUUGUGACAGAGGAUUUCGAAACGUUCCUUUAGAAAAAAAAAAAAGAAAGAAAAAAAAAUAAUAGGAUAAGGAGCAUGGAACGAACGAAUGGAAAAUUAAAUUAAUAAUAAAGAAAAAAAAAAAAAAAAAAAGAAAAGAUAAUAUCGAAAUUUUAUAAAUACUCGAUCGAAUCAAAGGAUCUUCGAAUUUGGCAUUGGAAAUUCCUUAAAUCAGACAUUUCAAAAAUUUAUCGAAUUAUCUCUCCGAUACGUUCUAAUCGUAAUAACAUCUGAAAAUUAUUUCACUGUGCAAAGCUUAGGCGCGUCUAUUCGAAACUUUUUAUUUAAAAAGAGGGAGAGAAAUAAAAAUUGGAUCUUCCUUUUUCUCGUUCCUCCCCUCGCCCAAGAAAAAAAAAAAAAGAAAAAAAAAAAGAAAACAAAAAAAAAAAAGAAAGAAGAAAAAAAAAAAAGAAUAAAAAAGGAAGCAAACGAAACAUCUCGAGAAAAUGAUUAAUUGACGUAGGAAUAAAUAUUAUACGGGUACUUUUGACCCGAGGAUCAAUCAUAUUCAAUAAUUUUGACGAUUAAUCGCCGAUCGAUCAUAUUUAAUUUAACAUUUCAACUAUUGCUAUUGAUAUAAAUCGUAAUGUAACGUGCAAAGAUGAAUGUAAACAGUGGCUAGUAGUAGGAAAUCGAGACGUCAGGAAGACUACGCUCCUGGUCAACGUACCAUUCAUGAGGAAUUUACGUUCAUCCUUCUCUUCUACUUCCCUCCCCUCCCCCACACAUACCCCCCUUUAGAUGCAUGCAAUUCCUUUCUCUUUCCUUUUCUCUCUCUCUCUCUCUCUCUCUCUCUCUCUCACACAUACCCAUACACACACAUACACUCACACAUGUAAACGUAUAUAUAUAUAUAUAUAUGUAUACAUAGUACCUACAUAGAAAUGUGUACACAUCGCAUAGAUCCCGUAUCGUUGAAGGGAGAGAAGAUAGACCCUCUCAUUGUGCGCACGGAUAUCCGCGUCACCCAGCCGCAGAAGACUGUUCACGUUCGUGUUUGAAAACCACUCCAUUUCUCUCGGAAGAAAAGAAAAUCUCUCUCUCUCUCUCUCUCUCUCUCUCUUUCUCUCUUUCUCUCUUUCUUUUUUUUUUCUUUCUCUCUUUAUCUUUCUAAACCGCACGCGCGCGAGCAGCCGGCCACGAACAAUUAGAGCCCUUUCAGGAAUUCCAGACGACUCCAACUGUCGCGAAUUUCUCAAUUCAACGAAUGCAUAGGACAAAAGAUAUUCUUCUUUGAUGUUGCAAUUAGAAUUUUUAUAAAAGCGAAAUGAUAAUGAAGACUUCGAAAACUAUCUCUCCCUCUGUGUAUAUCUUUCUCUUUCUCUCUCUCUCCCUCUCUCUCUCUCUCUCUCUUUUUCUCUCUCUUUGUCAUAGAUCAUUAGAAUUUGUCAUUUAGAGAGUGUUAGUUUUUUUCCUUCGAAAAUUUGAGAGAGAGAGAGAGAGAGAGAGAGUGGGAGGGAGGGAGGGAGAGGGAGGGGCAUAAAAAAAGGACAAAAAGUUUUAAUCAUUUUAAUGAUAGAAACUAAAAAGGGGUUCCGCUAAAACGGAAUUAUACCGGAUAUUAUUGGACGACGUUCUCACACUGCUCCCUUUUUUUUUAAGGGUCGUCAUAGUCAUUGUCAUUUUCAUUUUUACGAGUUGGGUGUUCCUCACUUAGUUAACAAUUCUUCGUACUUUCAUAAAAAUCGACUAAUCGUCAUACAUAUUUACAUACGCAUAUACAUAAAAGUUUAUUCAACGAGCACUCGUUAAACAAUUAUCGUUGCAAUGGUUAAAGAGUUAAAGUGAUUAUCUUGAAAAUUGGACUCGUAAAAGAAAGGGAACGGACUUAAAAUAUAAUUAGAAGGAGCUUUAAUAAUCUGUAAGUACUAGAUUUACUUUUAACACACUUGACUUCUUGGCUUCGUGUUUGCACUUUAAUGAGGAACGAUUGGCGGAAAAGGAUAUGCGUCGACGUAAUCAUGUAAAACGGAGAACGACCGGCCGACCUACCAAACGACCUACCAAACGACCGAGUCGACCAGGCGACAAAUUAACCUGAUUUCAUUGUUCCGAACGUAACUCAACGUUCGAAACUAUCCAACCGAGAGAUUUUCAACGUAGACUCUCGUACUUGACGGUCAAAAGACGUUGGACCUGGACCUGACCAACGCCGAAAAGUGCAAGAAACAUGCAAAUUCCGCCAAAUAAUAGACUCCACCAUGUAUGACGUAUAGUCAAAUCCAAACUGAACCUGUUCAAUGAACGAUCAUUUUUGUUUGUUUGUUUUUAAUUAAUUAAAAUCGAUAAGAUCAACGAGGAUCAAUAAAUUAACAAGUAAAUAAAUAAUUAUAAAUCAAAAUCAAUGUAACUUACACGUUCAAAUUUAUACGAUCACCUCUCAUAGCUCUAUCCCAUACAUCAUAAAUUCCAUUUGGUAGGAUAUUGCAACCGAUCCCAAUAAUGCACAAUGUCGAUAGGAGCAUAAGUAGGCCUUGGAAAACGUCACUUAUUAAGACAGCCUUGAUCCCACCGAUCGUUGAAUAGAACGUACAGAUUAUGCCGAUUAAGAUGAUACUUAAGGUACUGGACAAGCCGGUGGUUGCCUCCAGGGCUAUUGAGGGAGCGUAAAGAACGAUUCCCGUGUGUAAAGUCAUAUGGCAGAAGUUUGCGAUGCUGGCCAAUAAACGAACCUUUAUUCCAAAUCUUUUCUCUAUAUACUGGUAGAUUGCAAAAGAGAAAAGAAAAAAAAAAGAAAAAAGAAGGAGAAAAAGUAAAGAAAUAUUUAAUUUUUAUCUUCGUCAAGAAUAAAAGAGAAUAUAAUCUAAUUUUUAAAUGACUUUAAGGAAUGAAAGAAAUUUUAACAUACUGAUGAGUUAUCUUAAAUGAGGAUCAAAAAAACUUUAGUCUUUUAGGACGCUCAUGUAACAAGAACUACCGUAUAGGUUCGACGAAAUGACGAUCCUAAGGAACGAACGAUCGAACGAUCGGUCGUACGAUCGAUCGAUCGAUCGAUCGAAUGAUCGUUCAAUGCCGUCGUCAAUUACCUCGAAGACGCUCAUGACUUUCAACUCGAAGAAGACUGGUAGGUAGCAGUACAUAGCGAUAGGCGCUCCAACAAGGAAGCCAAUGGUAAACACGGUGAACAUCGUGCCAUGGACGUAGAUUUCCGCGCUGAUUCCAAGGAUCGUAAUCGCGGAUAUGAAGGAAACUGUCAUGGCUAUCCCCAAUGGCAAAAUCUUCAUGGAUCGAUCGGCUGAGAAGUAUUCCUAUCCGUUGAUAAAUUAUUUAGCAUAGUAUAUAUAUAAAAUGAACUAUUGCUUUAUCGAUUUGAUGAUAUAUAUAUAUAUAUAUAUAUGAUUAAGAACUUAAUUAAUAAGAUAUUUAUACAUUAAUUUUGUAAACGCUCCCCUUACCCUGAUUGAUUUGUUAUCAUCCUGACGAGUUAUUUUCAUUUUUUUCUUUUUUUUUUUUCUCUUUUUUUUUUUUUGAUAAUAAAAAUAAUCAACGAUGAGGAUCUAUAGUACGACGUUAUUGAUACGAUCGAUCACAGGUUUUUCCUUAUUUUUUUCUUUCUUUUUCUUUUUUUCUUUCUUUUUUUAAGUAAAUUAACUCGCAAUUAUGUGAAAGUAUUUACGUUUAAAAUUGUACGUUUAAAAGUAUAAGAAAAUAACGAUGAUAUCUAUCUCAAUGGGGGCUCUCUUACAAGACAAGAUUUAUCGUAUCGUAAUCAGAUCGUAAUGAUAGUAUGAGCGUUAAUUAGCGUCCACGAGUAUUUCGGAAAUAGCUUACACUACGGUAAGCGAUAAUUUACUAGCGAUCUAUAGUCGCUAAUUUAUAUACUUGCUAAUAUUUAUACUUUCGAGAGUAAGAUCGUUAUGGAUAAGAAACGCGGAACAUAGACGAUCUCUCUUAAGUAUCGCGAUCUAGGUGUGUGGUUCAACAUGAAUUAUCAGUUAUAUCUGAUAGCAAUCUGAAAAAGCAAGAAAGAAAAAGAGAGAGAGAAAGAGAGAGAGAGAGAGAGAGAGAGAGAAAGAGAAAGAGAAAGCUAUUGAUUUUUGAACGUUUCAACAUUGAAAUUAAUUUUCUAGUCUGGUAACCACCUCGAUAGUUUGUUGUCGACCGCCUGUGAAUCGAUAAUAGAUCCCAAUGCUGGCAGAGAUUAGCAGGACUAUACCAAUGAUUAUAUAGUCAUGCCAUUGUAACUUCGAAUUCUCAUUCUGGAUAGUCUGUUUCUGUAAAAAGAAUCGUUUCAUCUAAUAUUUAUCUUACGUUACUUCAAGAUCUAUAACUUAUAAGCGUACUUAUUACAAAAUUUUCAUGUAUAACUUUGACAUGAAUUUAAACCAACACUAGUAACCAUCGAUAUAUAUAUAUAUAUAUAUAUAUAUAUAUAUAUAUAUAUAUACAUAUAAA